RNAcentral lists this ribosomal RNA (663 nucleotides) under Sphingobacterium multivorum. RNAcentral's name for it is "bacterial SSU rRNA". It matches the Rfam family "Bacterial small subunit ribosomal RNA", at positions 65 to 722 of the family's 1533-position model. The record is from RNAcentral. Lineage: Bacteria; Pseudomonadati; Bacteroidota; Sphingobacteriia; Sphingobacteriales; Sphingobacteriaceae.
GAUCCAUCGGAGAGCUUGCUCGAAGAUGGUGAGAGUGGCGCACGGGUGCGUAACGCGUGAGCAACCUACCUCUAUCAGGGGGAUAGCCUCUCGAAAGAGAGAUUAACACCGCAUAAUAUCAACAGUUCGCAUGUUCGGUUGAUUAAAUAUUUAUAGGAUAGAGAUGGGCUCGCGUGACAUUAGCUAGUUGGUAGGGUAACGGCUUACCAAGGCGACGAUGUCUAGGGGCUCUGAGAGGAGAAUCCCCCACACUGGUACUGAGACACGGACCAGACUCCUACGGGAGGCAGCAGUAAGGAAUAUUGGUCAAUGGGCGGAAGCCUGAACCAGCCAUGCCGCGUGCAGGAUGACUGCCCUAUGGGUUGUAAACUGCUUUUGUCCAGGAAUAAACCUAAAUACGUGUAUUUAGCUGAAUGUACUGGAAGAAUAAGGAUCGGCUAACUCCGUGCCAGCAGCCGCGGUAAUACGGAGGAUCCGAGCGUUAUCCGGAUUUAUUGGGUUUAAAGGGUGCGUAGGCGGCCUAUUAAGUCAGGGGUGAAAUACGGUGGCUCAACCAUCGCAGUGCCUUUGAUACUGAUGGGCUUGAAUCCAUUUGAAGUGGGCGGAAUAAGACAAGUAGCGGUGAAAUGCAUAGAUAUGUCUUAGAACUCCGAUUGCGAAGGC